RNAcentral lists this small RNA (74 nucleotides) under Aureoumbra lagunensis. RNAcentral's name for it is "partial transfer-messenger RNA". Lineage: Eukaryota; Pelagophyceae; Sarcinochrysidales; Sarcinochrysidaceae. The record is from RNAcentral.
ACCUCAACCUGUUGGAGGUGGUGGAGAUGAUGAUGAAGAAUGUGAUGAUUCUGAUUAUGGAAAUAAUUGUAAUA